Molecule: transfer RNA, 90 nt
Filed under: Alphaproteobacteria bacterium
Lineage: Bacteria; Pseudomonadati; Pseudomonadota; Alphaproteobacteria
Also listed under: 8 other names
Description: tRNA-Ser
Rfam family: tRNA
About the family: Transfer RNA (tRNA) molecules are approximately 80 nucleotides in length. Their secondary structure includes four short double-helical elements and three loops (D, anti-codon, and T loops). Further hydrogen bonds mediate the characteristic L-shaped molecular structure. tRNAs have two regions of fundamental functional importance: the anti-codon, which is responsible for specific mRNA codon recognition, and the 3' end, to which the tRNAs corresponding amino acid is attached (by aminoacyl-tRNA synthetases). tRNAs cope with the degeneracy of the genetic code in two manners: having more than one tRNA (with a specific anti-codon) for a particular amino acid; and 'wobble' base-pairing, i.e. permitting non-standard base-pairing at the 3rd anti-codon position.
Source: RNAcentral
GGAGAGAUGGCUGAGCGGUUGAAAGCACCGGUCUUGAAAACCGGCAAGGUGGCAACACCUUCCAGAGUUCGAAUCUCUGUCUCUCCGCCA